RNAcentral lists this ribosomal RNA (597 nucleotides) under Debaryomyces hansenii. Its description in RNAcentral is "partial large subunit ribosomal RNA". It matches the Rfam family "Eukaryotic large subunit ribosomal RNA", at positions 65 to 627 of the family's 3401-position model. The record is from RNAcentral. Lineage: Eukaryota; Fungi; Ascomycota; Pichiomycetes; Serinales; Debaryomycetaceae.
CCAAAGGGGGNGAUGCAUUAGUACGGCGAGUGAAGCGGCAAAAGCUCAAAUUUGAAAUCUGGCACCUUCGGUGUCCGAGUUGUAAUUUGAAGAAGGUAACUUUGGAGUUGGCUCUUGUCUAUGUUCCUUGGAACAGGACGUCACAGAGGGUGAGAAUCCCGUGCGAUGAGAUGCCCAAUUCUAUGUAAAGUGCUUUCGAAGAGUCGAGUUGUUUGGGAAUGCAGCUCUGAGUGGGUGGUAAAUUCCAUCUAAAGCUAAAUAUUGGCGAGAGACCGAUAGCGAACAAGUACCGUUAUGGAAAGAAGAAAAAAAAUUUGAAAAGAAUAUGGAAAAAUAUGUUGAAAUUGUGAAAAGGAAGGGCCUUAGAACAGAAUUGGUAUUUUGCGGACCUUUCCUUCUUGGGUGGGGUUCUCCCCAGUUUAUGGGGCAGUUUCCGGUUGGGAGCGGCGAUAAUGUCUAAAGGAAGUGUGGUCUUUAUUUGGGUGGUGUGAUAUCCCUGGGUUAGAAAAUCUCUCUGAAGACAUGAGCGUGUCUCUUUUGUAGGGAAUGGUGUCUCAAUGGUUUUCCUCCCCCGUCAAAAGAAGACAAAAAAAAANC